This 896-nucleotide non-coding RNA is filed under the name Platysteira cyanea (brown-throated wattle-eye). RNAcentral's name for it is "partial 12S ribosomal RNA". It matches the Rfam family "Bacterial small subunit ribosomal RNA". The record is from RNAcentral. Lineage: Eukaryota; Metazoa; Chordata; Aves; Passeriformes.
UACAUGCAAGUAUCCGCAUUCCAGUGUAGAUGCCCUAGGCACCCCUUUAACCAGGUCGAUAGGAGCGGGUAUCAGGCUCACUCAACACCCAGUAGCCCAAGACGCCUUGCACUUGCCACACCCCCACGGGUACUCAGCAGUAAUUAAUAUUAAGCAAUGAGUGUAAACUUGACUUAGUCAUAGCAAUCUUAAGAGCUGGUAAAUCCUGUGCCAGCCACCGCGGUCAUACAGGAAGCUCAAAUCAACUUUAUUAGCGGCGUAAAGCGUGGUCACAUGCUAUCCAAAUAACUAAGAUAAAAAAGCGACUGAGCCGUAAUAAGCCCAAGACGCCCAUAAAGACCUACUGCCAAAGAAGAUCUUAGCCAAACGAUUAAUUGAAAUCCACGAAAGCCAGGGCCCAAACUGGGAUUAGAUACCCCACUAUGCCUGGCCCUAAAUCUUGAUGCUUCACCCCCUACUUAAGCAUCCGCCUGGGAACUACGAGCACAAACGCUUAAAACUCUAAGGACUUGGCGGUGCCCCAAACCCACCUAGAGGAGCCUGUUCUGUAAUCGAUGAUCCACGAUUUACCUAACCAUUCCUUGCAAGUUCAGCCUAUAUACCGCCGUCGCCAGCUCACCCCCCUGAAGGUCAAACAGUGAGCGCAAUAGUCUAACCCACUAGCAAGACAGGUCAAGGUAUAGCCUAUGGAAUGGAAGCAAUGGGCUACAUUUUCUAGAUUAGAACAUUACGGCAAAGGGAUAUGAAAUUGUCCCUGGAAGGCGGAUUUAGCAGUAAAGUGGGAUAAUCAAGCCCUCUUUAAGCCGGCUCUGGAGCACGUACAUACCGCCCGUCACCCUCCUCAAAGGCGACCCCCACCAAAAAUAAAUUAAUAAACUACUAAGCCAAAGAUGAGG